CAGCAGCAUAAGGCGGCUGUUAGAGCAGUUCCAUUCUUCUUGGCCAACAUUUUAUGCACCAGGUUCAUUCACCAGCAGCACAUUUUCUUCCUCUUGCAAUACUCCUUCUGUCCUCAAAGGUAAACGUCAGUCAGCCUCUCCUUGGAAUUAAUGACGUGCUUCUCAGUGAGGCCCUAUAGGUCUCAAGCACCAAACAUCCGUGUGCUGAUGCCUAACUUUUGGUCUAUCUCCUCCAACAGCUUAGUCCUCUUCUCUGCCAAGACCUGUAGCCCCUCACCAUCCAUCCCAGCUGUGGUGUUCCCAGGGCCGGGGUCAUCCUCCCCUAACUUCUGGCUUAGGAGUGAGUGCCUUCCUUGUGGCUCUUCUUGUGGCCAUGGAGAUUGACUUUGGAUAUUACAAGUCCCUCUUUCUUAACAAUGACUUUCAAGAGUUUCAACCUCAAUUUGGCUGGAACUGACUGUCUAAAAGAGCAUCUCCUGAGCCAAAUGGGCCCCGAUACUUUGUAGCUGCCCAGAAUACUGUGCAGUGCCAUC
Molecule: long non-coding RNA, 533 nt
Filed under: Rattus norvegicus (Norway rat)
Lineage: Eukaryota; Metazoa; Chordata; Mammalia; Rodentia; Muridae
Description: long non-coding RNA NONRATT014238
Source: RNAcentral